GGAGCUAAUACCGGAUAAUAUUUUGAACCGCAUGGUUCAAAAGUGAAAGACGGUCUUGCUGUCACUUAUAGAUGGAUCCGCGCUGCAUUAGCUAGUUGGUAAGGUAACGGCUUACCAAGGCAACGAUGCAUAGCCGACCUGAGAGGGCGAUCGGCCACACUGGAACUGAGACACUGUCCAG
This 181-nucleotide ribosomal RNA is filed under the name uncultured Staphylococcus sp. Its description in RNAcentral is "partial 16S ribosomal RNA". It matches the Rfam family "Bacterial small subunit ribosomal RNA", at positions 159 to 334 of the family's 1533-position model. The record is from RNAcentral. Lineage: Bacteria; Bacillati; Bacillota; Bacilli; Caryophanales; Staphylococcaceae.